RNAcentral lists this ribosomal RNA (409 nucleotides) under uncultured microorganism. RNAcentral's name for it is "bacterial SSU rRNA". It matches the Rfam family "Bacterial small subunit ribosomal RNA", at positions 509 to 917 of the family's 1533-position model. The record is from RNAcentral.
CAGCCGCCGCGGUAAUACGUAGGUCCCGAGCGUUGUCCGGAUUUAUUGGGCGUAAAGCGAGCGCAGGCGGUUAGAUAAGUCUGAAGUUAAAGGCUGUGGCUUAACCAUAGUAGGCUUUGGAAACUGUUUAACUUGAGUGCAAGAGGGGAGAGUGGAAUUCCAUGUGUAGCGGCGAAAUGCGUAGAUAUAUGGAGGAACACCGGUGGCGAAAGCGGCUCUCUGGCUUGUAACUGACGCUGAGGCUCGAAAGCGUGGGGAGCAAACAGGAUUAGAUACCCUGGUAGUCCACGCUGUAAACGAUGAGUGCUAGGUGUUAGACCCUUUCCGGGGUUUAGUGCCGGAGCUAACGCAUUAAGCACUCCGCCUGGGGAGUACGACCGCAAGGUUGAAACUUAAAGGAAUUGGCGGG